Molecule: ribosomal RNA, 460 nt
Filed under: uncultured bacterium
Lineage: Bacteria
Description: partial 16S ribosomal RNA
Rfam family: Bacterial small subunit ribosomal RNA
Source: RNAcentral
CCUACGGGUGGCAGCAGUGGGGAAUAUUGGUCAAUGGGCGCGAGCCUGACCCAGCCAAGUCGCGUGAAGGAUGACUGCCCUACGGGUUGUAACCUUCUUUUAUAAGGGCAUAGAGUGAGGCACUUGUGCCUUUUUGUAUGUACUUUAUGAAUAGGUCUCGGCUAACUCCGUGCCAGCAGCCGCGGUAAUACGGAGGAUCCGAGCGUUAUCCGGAUUUAUUGGGUUUAAAGGGAACGUAGAUGGGUUGUUAAGUCAGUUGUGAAAGUUUGCGGCUCAACCGUAAAAUUGCAAUUGAUACUGGCAGCCUUGAGUACAGUUGAGGUAGGCGGAAUUCGUGGUGUAGCGGUGAAAUGCUUAGAUAUCACGAAGAACUCCGAUUGCGAAGGCAGCUUACUAAACUGCCACUGACAUUGAUGCUCGAAAGUGUGGGUAUCAAACAGGAUUAGAUACCCCUGUAGUC